RNAcentral lists this long non-coding RNA (9157 nucleotides) under Homo sapiens (human). RNAcentral's name for it is "HSALNT0123122". The record is from RNAcentral. Lineage: Eukaryota; Metazoa; Chordata; Mammalia; Primates; Hominidae.
CCGGAACCCGAGGCCCGGCCUGGGGCGCGGCUGCUGGGCGCUAGGCCCGCGACGCUGAGGUGCGCGCGCCCCGGGCGGGAGGAGGGGCUGCACCGCCUGGCGAAUGGGAGGGGGACUGGCAGGCUCUCCCUUCCCAAGGGAGGUCGUCCUGUCGCCCUAGACUAAACCCAGGAAGGCUUUUAAAAGAAGCAGAGUCUCCGCGGGGGGAAGCUUGUUCCCUGAGAGGUGGCCGCAGACGAACCCACUGCUCAGUCUGGCAUCCCGAAGCCGCUCCGCUCCUGGCUCUCCCCGCUGUUCCUGCGCGCAGCGGGGGCAGUGCCCCCACACCCACGCGUGAUGGGAAGGCCGGCCUGGGGGUGGGAAGGCCCACCGAAAUAGAUGGUCCCCACACCUCACUGCUUCCUUGGAUGUGGCUAUUUUUUAUGCCAGUGUUCUCCUGCUCUGACCCUACUUGAACUUGACCGCAACCGGCCCCGCCUUGCAGGCCACCCUCCCGCAGCAGAAAACUGUGCGGAGCUCGCGCUGUCCUCGCCUCCGCUGACCCCACCUCCAUGUCCUCACAGACACUAUUUUUUCACAACACAGCUCAGAUCCCACCUUCUUCAUGAGGUUAUUCAACAAACACUAUUAAACUUGUAAGAUGUACCAGAUCCUGAGUUGGAGGCUGAGAGGAGGACAAGAAAACUGCUCCCGUAGCCUAGAGGGAGGGAGAGUCGCUUAAACCACCUGAUGCAGAAUGCUGAGUGCGGAGACCAGGAGGGUCCAUCUGAACCUCAGGGUCCUCUAGGAUACCCAGGACCUCGAGGGUUAAGGGAACAUCGGGUGGUGAUGGCCUCCAUGAUCCCCCAGAGAAAGGGUGUGACUUGAGUGCCUUCUUCCUCUGUGCUCCCCAGGGAGCAGCAGCAUCAGAGUGCUCCCAGGGUGCCAAAGGGACACACUGGACCAACUGGAGACCCUGGGCCCCCUGGAUUCACAGCUGACAAUGGAUUGAGGUGGGUAUAGAAGAAGUCAAGGAAAAGCCCCUGUCAUGAAGAGUUGGAUGGAGACAGGCACAGAGUGGCCGCAGGUCCAAGCAGAGUGAACAUGCGUCCAAACUGGCAGUGGCAGCCCCUAGAAGGGAGACACCAACAGCACCGAGAUCUGUGGUCUCCAGAGCUGACAUCUCCUGCACUUGCCACGUGCAGGCGCUGUGCGGGACCUCCUCUCCAUCCUGUGAGGGUCUCCCUGAACUCAGGGUCCCAAUGGAUUUCCUGGCCCCAAAGAGCCCCUGGGCACCCUGGGAAUGACAAGCUGCCGGGACACUCAGGCCAGAGAGGAAAGGUGGAGAGAACGGCUCCCAGACCCUGGAGUUAAGUCUGUCUGGCUCUCUUCUCUCAGUCACACACCCCUGCCUCUGGCUCGCAUGUCUGGAACAGGGUGUCCAUGGGGUUCAAGGGAAGGAUGUUCCUGGUCUGAGGGGCUUCCCAGGAGAGAGAGGCCUCCUAGGCACUGCUGGUUCCCCCCUAGGGAGUGAGGUGCAGCAGGAUCAAGGGACCCAUUGCCCCCCGCCAGGGUGCCCAGGCCCUCAGGAACCCCCUGGAUCAGCAGGAGAGACAGGGUGAAAAGGGCCCCAUUUGUCUGCCUGGCUGUGAUAGGGUGCAGAGUCCUGUGUGACUUCCUGGUCCUGCUGGGCCUCCAGGUGUGGCUGGAGAAGAUGGAGACCAAGAGGAGAACCCCAGAGAACCCGACCAAUCUUCUCUCCACAUGAGAGGGCUGAGGGCCCUCCUGGACCCCCUGGACUCACUGGUCCAUGGAACAGCCUGUAGCAGUGGGAGCAGAUUGGGAGCCCAGAGCUCAGGGACCCCAGGGACACUUUGGAGCCAGAGUGUGGGGAGCCAAAGGCAAUAAAGGUAGAACAGGAUUCAUGAAUCUAUAGGGACUACCUGGACCCAGUGGCACUGGUGGUCCACAAGAUCCCCUGGGAGGUGUUGGGGCCCUGGGUCCCCCUGGAGAGAAGCCAGGAGAGUCAGGAUCUCCAGGAAUCCAGGGUGAGCCGGGUGUCAGGGUCUUGGUUUUCCUGGAGACCCUGGCCCCCCAGGAGAAGGUGGCUCAUGACCAGGACAGUGUUAACGGUGACUAUGGCAAGGAUGGUGAGCCAGUACAGCCCGUGAGUGACCAAUGUCCCUGCCACCCCCACUGAGCUCCAGCCUUCAGCCCCUUACCCCUCUUUUCUGUGCCCUACUCCUGAGGGGUCCCUUAGCUGGAGGCCAACACUCACCCACCCCAAUUCCUCUCAUUCUGUGGAUCCUCUGGUCCCACUGGGGAGAAUGGACUACCUGGACCACAUGGAAAGCAGGGUCAGCUAAGAAUAGCCAUGACUCAAGGGUCAGCUAAGAAUAGUCAUGACUCAAGGGUCAUUUAGGACACAGGAAGAUACCAGAUGAGGAAACUCUCCCCAAGUCCUAAACUCAUUCACAAAUUAGAACACAUAGGUCCAGCCCAGGCACAGUGGCUGAAGCCUGGAAUCCUCCCGCUUCCUGCUUCGGGAGACCAAGGCAAGAGGAUCUCUCGAAGUGUGAGUUGGAGGCCAGCUUGGGCGACACAAUCAGGAAAAGCAAGUGGCCACCAGGUGGCGCCCAAGAACUGGGCCCGAGUUCCCUGGGAGGAAUCUGCACGCAGCCCUGGGAUGGCACAGGGAUGCCUCACGGGACACCUGGCCUCGUCCUGGUAGCCCCUUGCUUGCAUUUCCCGGCCCUGGGGUGUCCUCCCCGACUGCACAUGCAUGUAGAGACCAUUCCUCCUUCUCCAAAGAGGGAUUUGGAACAAUUCUCACAUGACCUGACGAGGGACAGUGGCUGUGCUCAGGGUCCCUCUUUUGUCCUCAGAGCAUGACCAGGCCUGUGGCUCUUGCUCAUUGCCCAAGAGCAUGGGAGGUUGCCCGUGGCAAGGCCCUGGAGGACCCUGCUGUGCUGCCUGGGACCAGGAGGCCCGGCUGCCUUCUCCCAGCACCUCUCCCAGUUAGGGUACUGUGCAGGAAAUGGGUGCAGAGGCCAUAGUGGUGGCUGCUCCUGGGGUCCCAGCAGCUCUAGCUGAGGCAGGAGGAACCAGGGAGCCCAGGAGGCUGAGGCCCCUGUCCUACUGCUCUGGUCGUGCUGCAGUCUCUGUCACCACCAACAACUGCAGUGAGGUGAGCCACUGGGCUGCAGGCUCUAGCCUCCAGCCUGUGACAGAUGCCUCCUCUUUCUGACUCCUCCUGUAGCAGGGCACGGAGAAGCUCUCGCUCAUCGCUGCCUCCUACCACUCCGAACAUGCUGCAGUCUCGUUGACCACGCUGCAGUCUUGGUGGCCACCACCAACUGCAGGGAGCCUGGCCAGGUGCCGCAAGUUGCAGCCUCCACCUCCUCCUCUAAGUCGGGCUUGGAGCAGCAGCGGGAGCAGUCACAGAAGAGGCUGGAAUGGUGGAAUGCACCCUCAGUAUGCAUUAUAUAUAGAGGUUUCGGCAAUGAGGGCCUGGACUUUGUGUUCUGAUUGGAUGGGGGAAACCUCUAGGCUUUAUCUUCAUGCCCUGAUUGGUUAUCCUAAGAGUUGCUCUCAUCCAGUCUUCUUUAUAAGUGGUCAUCUUUGUAAGUUCAUGCCCACUGGGAGUUACUGAAGUUGUGAAUGAUUACAUUUAAACUUAUCCUGUAAUUUUAGUCUGAUUUAUUAAUUCCACCUAUCUCCUUAAGCAAAUUAUUCUCUAUAGUGAUGACCCAAGCAAAUUCCUGUCCCAAGAUGGUAUCAAGAUGAUACCCAAGUUCCUCUCCAGAAUGGUAUCUGGAUAUAUGUGGAGGGAAAUAUUUUUUCUAGGCCUGUAUUAAAUAUGGCACUAAAGCUUAGUGGCUUAAAACAAUACACUGUUAUUAUCUCACAGCUUCUGUGAAUAAGUAGUUCAGGAGAGUGUAGCUGGGUGAUUCUUGCCAAGAGUCUCAUAAGGUUGCAGUCAAUCUGUUGGUGAGAAUUGUAGUUACUUGAAGACUUGGAGUUGAAGAAUUUAUAUCAAAGAUGGCUUACUUAUGGCAAUUGGAUGGAAGCCCCAGUUUCAGAAUGGCUGCUGGCAACAGGUCUUUUUACUUGCCACAUGGACCUCUCCAUAGGCUGACUGAAUGUCCUCCCAAUGUGUCAUCUGGCUUUCUCCAGUGCAAAAGAUCAAAGAAGAGAGUAUGAAGGAACCCGUAAUGCUCUUUAUAAUUUUGUCACAGACCGUCACUUCUGCCAUACUCUAUUGUUUAGAAGUUAGUCAUUAAGUCCAGCCCACACUCAAAAGAACGAGAAUUAACCUCCACCUUUGGAAGAGAGGCUAGUCAAAGCACUUGUGGACAUGUUUUGAAACCACAAAGGGGUAUGGCUGCCAGUCUCCAAGAUGGCCGCCAGUGAUUCUCAUCAGCUGUUAUUAAUACAUUUGUAUAGUCCCUUCCCACAAGAAAAAAGAGUUGAUCUGUUUAAUUAGUAUUAUUUUGUUGAAAUGACAGAGUCUGACUUGCAAGUUUAGGUCAUAAGAAGAAUUUUGACUUCUGCCUUAUUCUCUAUUGGAUCAAUAUCCCUAGGGGAAGCUAGAUGCAAUGUCAUGAAAUCAUUCAAACAGUCCCAUGGAACAAUCCAUCUAGCAAGGAACUGAUAUCUCCUAGCAAUAGCUGGCAUUAACUUACAAGUCGUAUGAGUGGGCCAUCUUAGAAUUGGAUUCUUCAGUCCAAAUCAAGUCUUCAGAUAACUGUAGCCCUGGCUGACAUCUUGAUUACAUCCUCAAGAGAGACCCUGAGCCAGAAUCACUCAGUUAAGCCACUGAGUUCUUUUUGCCAAAAACUUUUUUUUUACCAAGUUCUUUUUGCCACCAACUUUAUUGAGGUAUAAUUGACAAUUAAGAUUGUAUAUAUUUAAGGAAUACAACUUGAUGAUUUGAUAUACACAUACAUUGUGAAAUAAUCGUGAUAAUUAGGUUAACAUAUUCAUUACUUCACAUAAGUACCAUUUUCGUGUGUGUGUGUGUGUGUGUGUGUGUGUGUGUGUGUGUGUGUGGUGAGAACACAUGAGAUGUAUCCUCUUAGAAAAUUUCAAGUAUACAAUAUAUUAUUGUUAACUACAGUCAUAUUAUUGUAUACUAUGUCUCCAGAACUUAUUCACCUUGCGUAACUGAGAUGCUGUACCCUUGACCAAUGUCUCCCCCUUUUCUUCUCCCUCCAGCCCCUGGUAACUACCCUUCUACUUUCCAGUUCUAUACAUUUGACUCUUUUAGAUUCCACACAUAAGUCAAAUUUUUGACCCUUAGGAGCUGGGUGAAUAAUAAAUAUUUAUUGUUAUUUUCAGCCUUAUGAUUUUAAGUUAAUUUGUUAUGCAGUAAUAGAAGUUGCCACAUGAAGCUAUGACACUGGUUAACUCAUUUAUUCAGUAAACAUUUGCUAAGAGCAGACUAAGUGCCAGGAUCAAUUUUAUAAUUGGGGGUACAGGGUUAAGUCAAAAUGGCAGACUAGAAGCAGAUCAUGUGCACUGCUGUCAUGGAGAGGAAACAAAAUGGCUAGUGAACACUGAUCUUGCCAUGUGAUCCCCUAAGAAACCACAUCAGCAUCCAUGAAGGCAGCAAGGGGACACAGAGAGGAGAGAGGAGUGAAGCUGAGCAGCCCAUCUGUGAUCAGCAUGGAGCUAGAAGAAGCUCCCAAACAUAGGGAAAGAGUAAGUGAUUGAGAGCCCCUGGGGGAUUCACAGUCUUCACAGGGACCUGUGCAAGCCUUGGAACAGGAGAAUCUCUUUGACCCACUCCCUGCACCUCUAAGCCAAUGCAGAGAGCCACCCAGAGUUUUGUGGAGGCAACUCUCAAGUCCCUAGGGACUGCUGGAAGCCUUGGACCCUGGAACAGACCAGCACCAGUGCCAUAGCCCCAACAGAGGCUGCAGUCAUGGUACCCGAGGGCAGUAAGAUUGCUCCACCCCAAAUCACUAGACAAAGUUCAGCACCAGCCUCUGGCCCAAUGGUCCUGCUUCUGUUUUCACUUCACCAACAGGUUCAGCCUCCUGUUCCUCCAGGAAACACCCAAACAACAGGAUAGGCAACUUCACCCAAUCCCUGCCAGUUGUAGCCAGGCAGGCCAUACCUGCUAGAGCUUCCAGCCCCGUGGUACCACUUCUGUCUGAAUUCUGCUGACAAGCACAGUCUCUUGUUCUCCUAGGAAACACCUUAAUGGCAUGGUGAGUGACUCCACCCACUGCCACUGCUCAAGGCCAGCAGCCCACACCUGCUAGAGUUUCCAGCCCAACAGUCCUGCUUUUAUAUGAACUCUGCAGGUGGGGGCAACUCCAUGUUCCCCUGGGAAGCAGCUGGACAGCAGAUUAGGUGACCCCACUCAUCCCUGCAACUCCUAGCCAAGCAGUUCUUGCUGGCUUGGGUGGUGCCCAAGCAGUGGGGGAGUCCUCACUCUUGCAUCACUAAAAGAAGUGAGAUGCCCAAGUUCACAGGUCAGUGGAGGAGUGGGUUGUGCCUCCCUCUGUACAGCCAUUCCGGAAAGGAUAUGACCUGUUUGCCAACUGUGGCCCCUGCAUGAGGAAGCCCCAUGGACGAGAACACCUAAUAAAAGAAAUACAGGCAUGGAGUCAGUGAUCAGAGGGGGCUCUUCCAAGGCUUAGGGGUGGACAAGGUGAGGGGGUCAUCUCUACCCCACCCCCUAAAAAGCACUAUGCUAACUUGAGGAAAACACAAAAGAGCUGUGCAGCUGAGAAAAGCCUAUCUGCCUGUCCGCUGGCUAACACUUUUAAGUGCCACCUACUGGAUCACAGCAGAAAAUACAAUACAAAAAUAUUUUGCCAGUACACAGCACCUGUGAAAACUAAGGCAAAGAUUAAGCAACAAAUAAACAUUCUGUACAUACUCGUGACCCUCUGAAAACACCCUAAAAAGAAGCCAACUGACUGUACUCAACUUACAUCACAGUUAAAGGAACACUAACCCUUACACAUGAAAAAGAAUCGAUGCAAAAACUCUGGCAACUCAAAAAGCCAGUGUGCCCCCUUACCUACAAACAAACACACUAGUCCCCCAGAAAUGGUUCUUAGCCAGAUUGAGAUGACUGAAAUGAUGGAAAUAAAAUUCAAGAUCUGGAUGGCAAGGAAGAUCGAUGGGAUCAAAGAGAAAGUUGAAUCCAAGGAACCCAGUAAAACAAUCCAGGAGCUGAAGGAUUAAACAGCCAUUUUAAGAAAGAACCAGCUGGGUGUGAUGGCUCACGCCUGUAAUCCCAGCACUUUGGGAGGCCAAGGCGAGUGGACUACUUGAGGUUAGGAGUUUGAGACCAGCCUGGCCAACAUGAUGAAACCCUGUCUCUACUAAAAUACAAAAAUUAGCUGGGCGUGGUGGCACACAUCUGUAAUCUCAGCUACUUGGGAGGCUGAGGCAGGAGAAUCACUUGAACCCGGGAGGUGGAGGUUGCACAGGCUGGAGUGCAGUGGCACGAUCUCGGCUCACUGCAAGCUCUGCCUCCCAGGUUCCCACCAUUCUCCUGCCUCAGCCUCCCGAGUAGCUGGGACUACAGGUGCCCGCCACCACGCCCAGCAAAUUUUUUGUAUUUUUAGUAGAGACGGAGUUUCACCAUGUAAGCUAUGAUAGUCUCCAUCUCCCGACCUCGUGAUCCGCCUGCCUUGGCCUCCGAAAGUGCUGGGAUUACAGGUGUGAUGGCUCACGCCCAGCAUUUUUUUUUUUUUUUUUUGAGACAAAGUCUCGCUCUGUUGCCCAGGCUGGAGUGUAAUGGCACAAUCUCGGCUCACUGCAACCUCCCCCUCCCAGGUUCAAGCAAUUAUCCUGCCUCAGCCUCCUGAGUGGCUGGGAUUAUAGGCACCCACCACCAUGCCCAGCUAAUUGUUGUAAUUUUAGUAGAGAUGAGGUCUCACCAUCUUGGUUCGGCUGGUCUCAAACUCCUGACCUCAGGUGAUCCACCCACUUCAGCUUCCCAAAGUACUGGGAUUACAGGAGUGAGCCACCAUGCCCAGCCCCACAAAAAUUUUUAAAAAAGAAUUAAAAAGUGAAUAAAAUCUUUUGAGAAAUAUAGGACUAUGUAAAAAGACCAAACCUACAUUUCAUUGGCAUUCCCAAAAGAGAAGUAACUUGGAGAAUAUAUUUGAAGACAUAGUCCAUGAAAAAUUUCCCAAACUUGAUAGAGAGGGGAACAUACAAAUUCAAAAAAUACAGACAACCCUACAGAUACUACACAAGAUGACCAUCCCCAAGGCACAUAGUCAUCAGAUUCACCAAAGUCAAAGUAAAAGAAAGACAUCUUAAAGGCAGCUAGAGAGAAAGGUCAGGUCAUCUGUAAAGGGAACCCCAUCAGGCUAGCAGUAGACGUUGCAACAGAAACUUUACAAGACAGAGGAGAAUCAAGGUUUAUUUUCAGCAUUCUUAAAGAAAAUAAUUUCCAAGCAAGAAUAUUGUGUCCCACCAAACUAAGCUUCAUAAGUGAAGGAGAAAUAAAAUACUUUUCAGAUAAGCAAGUACUUAAAGGAGUGCUAAACAUGAAAACAAAGAACUGAAACAUGCUCCUUCAAAAACACACUCAAGGACAUAGCCUACAGAGAAUGUAAAGCCACCACACCACUAAGUCUACAAAAUAAACAGCCAACAACAUAAUGACAAGAUCAAAAUCUCAUAUAUCAAUACUAACCCAGAAUGUAAAUGGUCUAAAUGCCCGACUUAAAAGGGAUAGCAUGUCAAGUUGGACAAAAAGACAAGCCCCGAUAGUCUGCUGUCUUCAAGACACCCAUCUCUCGUGUGAAGAUACUCACACGUUCAAAGUAAAAGUAUAGAGUAGAUCUACCAAGCAAACAGAAAACAAAAAAGAGCAGGAGUCAUUAUUUUUAUAGCAGAUAAAACAGAUUUUAAACCAACAACAAUCAGGAAGGAUAAAGAAGAGCAGUACAUGAUGAUAAAAGGUUUAAUUCAACAAGAAGACCUGACCAUUCUAAACAUACACGUACCCAAUAUAGGAGCACCCAGAUUCAUAAAACAAAUUUUUCUUGACUAACAAAAAGACUUAGACAGUCACACAAUAAUAGUGGGGGACCUUAACACCCCACUGGCAGUGUUAGAUCAUCAAGGCUGAAAACUAACAAAGAAAAUCUGGGCUUAAACUCGACAUGUGACCAAUUGAACCUAAUAGAUAUCUACAGAG